RNAcentral lists this ribosomal RNA (300 nucleotides) under uncultured bacterium. Its description in RNAcentral is "bacterial SSU rRNA". It matches the Rfam family "Bacterial small subunit ribosomal RNA", at positions 1081 to 1382 of the family's 1533-position model. The record is from RNAcentral.
UAAGUCCCGCAACGAGCGCAACCCUUAUUACUAGUUGCCAGCAUUCAGUUGGGCACUCUAGUGAGACUGCCGGUGACAAACCGGAGGAAGGUGGGGAUGACGUCAAAUCAUCAUGCCCCUUAUGACUUGGGCUACACACGUGCUACAAUGGAUGGUACAACGAGCAGCGAACUCGUGAGGGUAAGCGAAUCUCUUAAAGCCAUUCUCAGUUCGGAUUGUAGGCUGCAACUCGCCUACAUGAAGCCGGAAUCGCUAGUAAUCGCGGAUCAGCACGCCGCGGUGAAUACGUUCCCGGGUCUU